This 1720-nucleotide long non-coding RNA is filed under the name Anser brachyrhynchus (Pink-footed goose). RNAcentral describes it as "lncRNA (ENSABRG00000016512.1)". Lineage: Eukaryota; Metazoa; Chordata; Aves; Anseriformes; Anatidae. The record is from RNAcentral.
AUGCUUGUGCUGCUGGCAGAGGUGCUGGGGAGACCCUUUGCUAGAGCAGCUGACUGCAGGUGGGGAGUGAACCUCUGCGAGGUCCCUCCGGCCGCCCUGGGACUUCUGCUCCACGGUGCUUCCACCUCCAGGUGCCGGUGCCCCUGUGCGACCAAACCCACGAGGGAACCAGGCCAGGCUGUCCAUGAGACACAAGCGCUUCUGGAAGGAGAGCAAAAGAAACUGGGUGGAUGGUAUAAUGAAAAAAAAGCUCUGAAGAACAAGGGGAAGCGAAAAGGUAGUUGUGGGCUCGUGUUAGCGAUCCCAAUGAUCCCUGAGGUCUGCUUGAAAUAGAACCCCGUCUGUGCCAGGCUAUUUGGGCCGUGUUGAUCUUCAUGGGAUUUUUCUAGCCUCAGGAAGAACUUGUGACUUCUGAAGGGCAUGAGCAGCCCCCUGCAGGGAAAGGUGUUCUGCCUGCUUGUGCUGCAGGGAGCAGCUGAGCUGUAUUUCAGGCUAUUGCUCUCUGAUCCAGAGGUGGCUGCACUGCACAACAGCAGGUGAAACCACAGCGUGGAGAACAGUGAGGUCAAACUGAAGCCUACGUCGAGGCACUUCUUGCCACGAGACAAAUGGUAUUCCUCACACAACAUGGACAAAAUCUCUUCCAAGGCUUGUGAAGGCUGCCAGCCUUGCACACCUGGAUGAAAGGCAUUAGGAAAACCUCGCUGAUUUUUCAGAUGCGCUGCCUUUUCUGGGACUCGCUCUCAUGCUGAAGGCACUCUGAGACUCUCUUCCAGUGGUGUGCAUUUAAUUGGCUUCACAGGCAGACACCUCAUGCGAUGCAGUCUGUCUUGCUGGCGGCCGGUGACAUAUUUUGCCAUUGUUCUUUUUAAUUUGGCAGAUCAGUGUCUGCAUGCGGUGCCCAGCAUGGCCAAAGCCAAGGCACUGAGACACCUUGGUCUCUGGAAGAGAAACUUCCUCCAGGAGCAGGGGCAGCACUUGCAGCCUUGUGCUAAUUACAAAACGACUUCUCUGUGUGUGUGCAGAAAUGGAAAAAUAUGCCUAGAAAGGUAACAGGGAUUAACAACAUUGACUACAAGAAGAUGAUGCAUUGGAUGAGCCCAAAGUCAACGUGAUUACACUCUGCACUGCACCAGCAACUACAUCCGUAGGAUGAGGCCCAGCUCUCACUGGAUUCAUCCCUGCACCUUGGUGGCCCUCUCCCCCUUAUGGGGGCAAACUGUGGCCCAAAAUUACCUUCCAAUGUUAGGCAGCAGCUGGCCUGGAGGAAGGUACAGCUCCUCGGCAGGCCUCCUGUCCUAGGAACCAGUUGCUUCUAGCCUAGAGAUUAUUGGGCCCCGGGUUUUGACCUGAUUCCCCUUUUCUUUUUUAUUUUACUUUUUUUUAAUUUCAUCUGACUGCCGGUUACAAAGGUGAAAAACCCAUCUGCUGACAUUACUACAGAAAGAUUCAGAGAUUCUUCUUGGUUUCCAGGGAAUACUGAAAUCCUCAGUGCAGGGUAUAGUCAGCUGGUGAGAGAGGGAGAGGGAGAGCUACUCAGCUGCCCUGUGGGAUCUGCAGUCUUCAGCUAAUAACCAAAGUAGGAUAUAACAAUGGAAUUAAUUUUAAAUUGCCUAAACAAUCAAAGGGCCAUUACUUCUUUUAAUUACAAGAAAGCUGGAGGAAUUAAAUAUGAUUUAAUUUCAAUAAAAUUUCAAGCUACCCAACUAUGAUUUUUAUU